This 406-nucleotide ribosomal RNA is filed under the name uncultured bacterium. Its description in RNAcentral is "partial 16S ribosomal RNA". It matches the Rfam family "Bacterial small subunit ribosomal RNA", at positions 29 to 526 of the family's 1533-position model. The record is from RNAcentral.
ACGCACGCUGGCGGCUGCUUAACACAUGCAAGUCGAACGGAGUGGCGAACGGGUGAGUAACGCGUGAGCAACCUGCCUAUGACAGUGGGAUAGCCUCGGGAAACCGGGAUUAAUACCGCAUAGUCAUAGAUGGGCUCGCGUCUGAGUAGCUAGUUGGUGAGAUAACAGCCCACCAAGGCGACGCUCAGUAGCCUGUCUGGGAGGAUGAAGGGCCACAUUGGAACUGAGACACGGUCCAAACUCCUACGGGAGGAAGAAGUGGGGAAUAUUGCACAAUGGGGGAAACCCUGAUGCAGCGACGCCGCGUGAACGAAGAAGGGAGUCGUAGCGUAAAGUUCUGUCCUAUGGUAAGCAGUACCAUCCAGGAACACACCGGCUAAAUACGUGCCAGCAGCCGCGGUAAUUC